This 914-nucleotide ribosomal RNA is filed under the name uncultured bacterium. RNAcentral's name for it is "bacterial SSU rRNA". It matches the Rfam family "Bacterial small subunit ribosomal RNA", at positions 8 to 917 of the family's 1533-position model. The record is from RNAcentral.
GAGGGUUUGAUCCUGGCUCAGAUUGAACGCUGGCGGCAGGCCUAACACAUGCAAGUCGAGCGGAUGAAGGGAGCUUGCUCCUGGAUUCAGCGGCGGACGGGUGAGUAAUGCCUAGGAAUCUGCCUGGUAGUGGGGGAUAACGUCCGGAAACGGGCGCUAAUACCGCAUACGUCCUGAGGGAGAAAGUGGGGGAUCUUCGGACCUCACGCUAUCAGAUGAGCCUAGGUCGGAUUAGCUAGUUGGUGGGGUAAAGGCCUACCAAGGCGACGAUCCGUAACUGGUCUGAGAGGAUGAUCAGUCACACUGGAACUGAGACACGGUCCAGACUCCUACGGGAGGCAGCAGUGGGGAAUAUUGGACAAUGGGCGAAAGCCUGAUCCAGCCAUGCCGCGUGUGUGAAGAAGGUCUUCGGAUUGUAAAGCACUUUAAGUUGGGAGGAAGGGCAGUAAGUUAAUACCUUGCUGUUUUGACGUUACCAACAGAAUAAGCACCGGCUAACUUCGUGCCAGCAGCCGCGGUAAUACGAAGGGUGCAAGCGUUAAUCGGAAUUACUGGGCGUAAAGCGCGCGUAGGUGGUUCAGCAAGUUGGAUGUGAAAUCCCCGGGCUCAACCUGGGAACUGCAUCCAAAACUACUGAGCUAGAGUACGGUAGAGGGUGGUGGAAUUUCCUGUGUAGCGGUGAAAUGCGUAGAUAUAGGAAGGAACACCAGUGGCGAAGGCGACCACCUGGACUGAUACUGACACUGAGGUGCGAAAGCGUGGGGAGCAAACAGGAUUAGAUACCCUGGUAGUCCACGCCGUAAACGAUGUCGACUAGCCGUUGGGAUCCUUGAGAUCUUAGUGGCGCAGCUAACGCGAUAAGUCGACCGCCUGGGGAGUACGGCCGCAAGGUUAAACUCAAAGGAAUUGACGGC